GUGCCUUAUACAUGCAAGUCGAGCGAACAGAUGGGAGCUUGCUCCCUGAUGUUAGCGGCGGACGGGUGAGUAACACGUGGGUAACCUGCCUGUAAGACUGGGAUAACUCCGGGAAACCGGGGCUAAUACCGGAUGGUUGUUUGAACCGCAUGGUUCAGACAUAAAAGGUGGCUUCGGCUACCACUUACAGAUGGACCCGCGGCGCAUUAGCUAGUUGGUGAGGUAACGGCUCACCAAGGCGACGAUGCGUAGCCGACCUGAGAGGGUGAUCGGCCACACUGGGACUGAGACACGGCCCAGACUCCUACGGGAGGCAGCAGUAGGGAAUCUUCCGCAAUGGACGAAAGUCUGACGGAGCAACGCCGCGUGAGUGAUGAAGGUUUUCGGAUCGUAAAGCUCUGUUGUUAGGGAAGAACAAGUGCCGUUCAAAUAGGGCGGCACCUUGACGGUACCUAACCAGAAAGCCACGGCUAACUACGUGCCAGCAGCCGCGGUAAUACGUAGGUGGCAAGCGUUGUCCGGAAUUAUUGGGCGUAAAGGGCUCGCAGGCGGUUUCUUAAGUCUGAUGUGAAAGCCCCCGGCUCAACCGGGGAGGGUCAUUGGAAACUGGGGGAACUUGAGUGCAGAAGAGGAGAGUGGAAUUCCACGUGUAGCGGUGAAAUGCGUAGAGAUGUGGAGGAACACCAGUGGCGAAGGCGACUCUCUGGUCUGUAACUGACGCUGAGGAGCGAAAGCGUGGGGAGCGAACAGGAUUAGAUACCCUGGUAGUCCACGCCGUAAACGAUGAGUGCUAAGUGUUA
This 800-nucleotide ribosomal RNA is filed under the name Bacillus sp. (in: firmicutes). RNAcentral's name for it is "bacterial SSU rRNA". It matches the Rfam family "Bacterial small subunit ribosomal RNA", at positions 44 to 825 of the family's 1533-position model. Lineage: Bacteria; Bacillati; Bacillota; Bacilli; Caryophanales; Bacillaceae. The record is from RNAcentral.